This 545-nucleotide long non-coding RNA is filed under the name Theobroma cacao (cacao). RNAcentral's name for it is "long non-coding RNA (TCAC_LNC002690)". The record is from RNAcentral. Lineage: Eukaryota; Viridiplantae; Streptophyta; Magnoliopsida; Malvales; Malvaceae.
AGCGAGUUGUUUUCUGCACGGAGAUGGGAUCGAAUGUGCAGUGGGAUCUCUUCCUGCACCCACCUCAAUAACUUGCUUGGGACAUUGGAGACUGAUCGUUUCGUGGGAUCUCUGCCUUUUUAUGAGCUGUUGAGCCUUAUGGAAAGCUUCUUCUUGCCAAAUCGAUUUCCAUGUCAAUGAGAGUUUCUGACAGCUUCAACUAGAGACUAACAAUGACACACCGGUUAUAUGGUUAAUAAAAUUCACUUUUUUAAAAAAAAUAACUUGAUUGGGACAUAGAAUCCGAAAUCUGACAAAAGCUGGUCAAGCGAACAGCUUCAAGAUACAACAAAUGAUCGACUUCUUAAUGUAUUUAGUUCUUAGAAUGUAAAGACUCAUACUAGAGAAAGAUCUUAGAAGGAUAGCAAUGGUAGCAGAGCAAUACCCAAAGGAGAAUUACUUUGCUUUCUAAGAUUGUUCCUGAUAAUGUUUUUCUCAUGAAAUUACUACGUGUUUAUAAUUUUUUUGUCAAUAAAAUUUUAUAUUUCAUGAAUUUUGAUGAUUCA